This 237-nucleotide long non-coding RNA is filed under the name Pongo abelii (Sumatran orangutan). Its description in RNAcentral is "lincRNA". Lineage: Eukaryota; Metazoa; Chordata; Mammalia; Primates; Hominidae. The record is from RNAcentral.
AGAGCAAGCGGCAGUUAUGGCGCAUGCGCAGCAGCAGGGGUGGCCGCAGUCAAGGGAUUUGUACAGCCCUAUAGGAGACACCUCCAGAGAAAGUAACAACUCUCAGUUGAUUAGCUGAGGUAUGUAUGUCAUUUAUGGCAAUACCUGUCUCCAUCCCCUCCGUCUUCUUCUAGGAGACCAAUUUUGUAAAUUGCUACUUUUCUAACAACAGUGGCACAGGUGGCCCAGCAUUCUCCC